AACUUGUUACUAUUAUAAAUACCUUUUUUAAGUAAAAGUAUAAAUAUGCAAAAUAUGGGCAUAAACGUAUUGAUGUGUAUUAAUGCUAAUGUUAAUCAAAACAAUUUAGACUAAAUAAAAAAUUACGCAAACGUAGACGUAAUAAGACAUUUGUGCACAUUCCCCUGUAGUAGAUGCAACACGCGCAACACACAGAUUUUAUCGACAGCACGGACAACAACCCACAUCCAUUACACGCGACACUGUUUUUAACGGCAGGUCGCAAAAUAGAUGUGACUUUUUAGUUCACAUUCCGGCCAGACCAGAAUGGAUGUCAGCAGUGUAAUCUGCGUAAUAAUCAUUUAAAAGUUUUCUGGAGCACUGCUUUGGAACGCAUGCAUAUUCUUACUUUUGUUAUUGUUUAAAUGAUUAUUUUUAUUAUUUAAUUGUGUUAUCGUCGGCAUAUUACGCGGUUUGUUGCUAAUCGAGUAGUUGUAAAAGAAAAAAUUUCAUCGUGUGACCACGUGCUGUUGUCUGAUUGAGGUUAUCUGACCAUGUGAAUGAUAAAAUCACGUGUAAAUAAUUGUUUUAACAAGAAAGACAGGAAUAACUUUGCUAACAAAACAUUUAUAGUGAACUGAAUUAAAUAUUUUGCGAUCAUGACGAAAGUUAAACGAGCUAGUGAUAAUGGAUGGAAGCCUGUAACGUUGGAAGGCACCUUAUUGUCCAACAGUAUAGAAGGGUUAAUUGGAAUAGAGGAGUUGACGGAUUAUAAUUUAGAGCGUAGCAGUAAAAAAGGCAAACUUGUAACUGUAGAGGUGAAAUCUACCGAGAAAAAGAAAUCAGUGUCAAAGCGUAAAUGCCUGAAAGAAGAACGGGAAGAGAUUAAUAUUGAUAAUAUUGAGCCUUCCGCAAAGAAAGCAAAGAUUAAGAAAGCAAAAAGCACGAAGAAAAAGAAGGCAGUUAAGUCAACAGACUUGAAAAUUGCUGAUCAGAAUCGACAGAUCGAUUCUGAUAGUGAUUUGUCCUGUGACAUGGAUAGCAGUAAAAAAGAAAGUUUGGCAGAGAUCAAUAUUGGUGCAUGGAGCUCCAUGGGUGUUCCUGCUGCUGUGAUAAAAGCUCUAGCUGAUCAGAAUUUUCAUUCUCCCACUAUGAUACAAGCACAAACAUUGCCAGCUGCUAUAUUGGGCCGCAGAGAUAUAUUAGGUGCUGCUGAAACUGGCAGCGGCAAGACGUUAGCAUUUGGUAUUCCUAUUAUAAAAGGUAUCUUGGAUUUAAAAAGUCAGAAUGAUGGUCAAAAUUGCCCAGUGAAAGAAAUUGGAGAGACUGAUUCAGAAAAUGAAGAUCUAUCACAAAAUUGUGUGAAUGUUGUGAAUAAUGCAAAGCUUGAUGAUCAUAAUACUCCAAUCAAGCCCUUCUAUGCAUUAAUUCUAACUCCAACUCGUGAAUUAGCAGUUCAAAUAAAGAACCAUCUUACCCAGGCAGCAAAAUAUACAGAUAUUAAGAUAGCUAUUGUCCUUGGAGGCAUGGCAGCAGUGAAGCAAGAAAGAAUAUUAAACAAAGGUCCCGAAAUCGUAAUUGCCACACCUGGAAGAUUAUGGGAAUUAAUUGAAGAAGGCAACUCUCAUUUAAAUCAAAUAGAUUCUGUCAGAUAUUUAGCUAUUGAUGAGACAGAUAGAAUGAUGGAAAAGGGUCAUUUUCAAGAACUGCACGAUAUAUUGGAAAAAAUGAAUGCAAAUCCGGAGAAGCGGAAGAAACGGCAGACAUUUGUUUUUUCAGCUACCUUGACUAUGGUGCACGAUCUUCCAGAUUAUCUCGAUAAGAAAAAGAAGCGAUACGCUAGGAGUAAAAUAUGUAAACUCACUUCCGACCAGAAAUUACAAAAAAUUAUACAGUUGUUAAAAAUAAAAAAUCCUAAGGUCGUUGAUCUUACAAAACAGUCAGGUAUGGCCGAUAACUUAACAGAAUGUCGAAUAGCGUGCACAAUUGACCAUAAGGACUAUUACCUUUAUUACUUCUUAAAGAGACACAAUGGAAGAACGUUAGUAUUUUGUAACAGUAUUGGCUGUGUAAAAAGAUUGGCCACUCUUUUCAGUAUACUUGAAUGCAAGCCUUUACCUCUGCACGCCAAUAUGCAACAGCGGCAACGUUUAAAAAAUCUCGAAAGAUUUCAAGCUGACGAGAACGGACUGUUGAUAGCUACGGAUGUAGCUGCGCGAGGUUUAGAUAUACCUAAUAUAGAGCAUGUGAUACACUAUCAGGUUCCGAGGACAGCCGAGAAUUAUGUACAUAGAAGUGGUAGAACGGCAAGAGCGCAAAAGGAAGGUAUCACAGUUCUAAUAAUGGAACCUUCCGAGAAACAGAAUUACACCAAGUUAUGCAAAACUCUCGGACGCACGCAUGAUUUGCCUGUAUUUCCGGUGAUAGACAAAAUACUAAUUACCAUAAAGGAAAGAGUCGAUGUCGCUCGCGAUAUUGAUAAGCUAGAACUAAAAAGCCGUCGGCAGAAUAAUCAGAAAAGUUGGCUACGAAAAGCGGUAGAGGAUAUGGAUAUGAUUUUGGACGAGGACGACGAGGAUGAAUCAUCAACGGAAUCAGAAGAAGCAGCAGCAUUGAAACGUCAAUUAAAGGUGAAGAAAAAUCAACUACGAUCAUUAUUAUCAAAGCCAGUAUUUCCGAAAGGAUUCUCGGGAAAAUAUCUUGAUGAUAAUUUGGACGUAAAUGUAAUUCAGGAUGCACAGAAAGCUGUCGAAGUGAUGAGAAAAGUAAUAGAAAGUAACACUGAUAAAGAAAAAAAAUUGCUUGCACUCUUUGUGUCAUGUCGCCUUGAUAACAAUCAAAGAACCUGGAGAGGAGUUGCAGCAACCGGAGCAAGGAAUCGGACGUUGACCCAUGGUUCGGGUAGGCCCUCAUAGAAACUGCGUUAAACGUUGCAACGUGCUUGAAGAAUUCAUCCUAAUUCAGACUGUAUGCUGGCAUGAAAGAAAAAUUUCUCCUUUCAAACUAGAACGGAUAAUAGAGCUUUGUCACCGGCACACGUGGCUAGGAUAAAAUUAUCAUACAUAUAUAGCUACUUAUCGACACGUAUCGUCGAGUGGCCCUGAUUCCCAGCAGAUUUCUUGUUCGUCCCGGACUACGGAUUCUACGUAAUUACAGAAUUGAAUAGCAGAUUGCACCCGAGAUUGGUGACAGCGAUGGAUAUCGAUGGAAUCGGGAAUGCUUCGAUGCGAGAGAUCGUCGGUGAUCGGCGUGACGUCCCAGGAUAACAUUUAAGUUAUUUGCGAGAUGGAAAGGCAUGAAGUUUUCAAUUCGCGGAGAUUCCCGGCUUCCGAGAAGAGAGCUCAACGUAACACAACGGCGAAGAAAACUCUCGCGGACUGUGCGUGAGAUCGGCAACACCCACGUCGCCUAACCAGCAGCUUUCACAUUUCCCAUAACCGCGACCGAGUGCGAUUCCACGCCUAAGAUUCCCGGCCGAACGGGAGUCGUCGGCUCAUCGCUUCCUUACUGAUGAGGAGUCGUGCGAAUCGGCGACUGUUUUACGCAACGUCGACGAAACGACGAGAGUCGCUCUGACGGGGAGGCGGAAACAAGAUCUCAUGGGUUACCUCAUUCCGCGCGUAUUGUGCGCAACGUAUUGCAAUUAAAAUCUCCGUCUGUUCGAUAUUGCGACGGAGAAAUCACGCACAAAAAAGCGGAUAGUGCGAAAUAUCGGGCGUUGCGUAAUGAAGAUUUGGGUCAAGUGAGCAAAAUCGUAUCAAGGAUAUGGUAACGAAAACGAUCAAGAUAAAUUCGGAAAGGACGAAGAUUCUUAGGAUGCUCGGGGAAAGUCCCGGGUGAUAAAAUCCGCAAGGUAAUCGCGCAACACUGUCACUCGACUUCGAAGAAUCACGAAUGGAAUCCGUUAUUGGCUUACCAGUAUCAUCGUGCUGCGAAGAAUACGCACUUUUAUACAGCGGUUUUUAUCGUCAGCGAUCAACUUGACGAAUCAGCUGGUCGGAAGGACAGAUGGAAGCACGUUUCACCUUGCUUUGAAAGACUGCAAUGGCUUAAAGAUUAAAGCUAGACAGGAUUAUUUUAUCGAUUGUCUUACUUUCUCCAUUCUGCGCUUCAAAAGACCUCCCAGUUUGCAACUUGAUGCGGUAAGGAAAC
Solenopsis invicta (red fire ant) is the source of this 4131-nucleotide RNA transcript. It is a transcript of the gene named ATP-dependent RNA helicase DDX24, with no coding region annotated. NCBI's taxonomy places the organism in Eukaryota, Metazoa, Arthropoda, Insecta, Hymenoptera, Formicidae. The transcript is spliced from 15 exons. The record is from RefSeq and is a predicted model, not a curated record.